AUGAAGCCAAAGCAGUGGCUUUCAAAAAUUGUUAUUGAGACUGGAAUCAUACACAUCAUGGAUAAUUUGCCAGAAGGGUCAAAGAAAGUUGUCAUGCCACUGAGGUUUUCUAUCAAUUUACAACAGGGUAUCCACAAUACGAAUGGGAUAAACAAGAAGUUUGAACACAAGAACCGUCUCGACAAGAAAGACUUGCUAUGGAGGAAGCAUUACCCAAAGCAGAGCAUCGAGCACUUCCAGAUUAUUGACAUCGAUGUACUGAAGCAGAUUAGCAACAAUGAGUGUGGUCUGUUUGCACUGCUUAAUGCCACUAAGUGGAACGGGAGCCUACUGCCCAACUAUGAGCCCAAGGAAGAUCUCAACCUCAGGAAGAAGCUGGCAUAUGAUUGGGUCACCAGCCCGCACAACUCUGCCCCAUGGAGGAAGCUGCUAAGAUAUGAAAAUGACUAG
This 450-nucleotide ribosomal RNA is filed under the name Triticum aestivum (bread wheat). RNAcentral describes it as "partial small subunit ribosomal RNA". The record is from RNAcentral. Lineage: Eukaryota; Viridiplantae; Streptophyta; Magnoliopsida; Poales; Poaceae.